RNAcentral lists this long non-coding RNA (1206 nucleotides) under Macaca mulatta (Rhesus monkey). RNAcentral's name for it is "lncRNA (ENSMMUG00000051152.1)". The record is from RNAcentral. Lineage: Eukaryota; Metazoa; Chordata; Mammalia; Primates; Cercopithecidae.
AUUGCAUUAAAUUAUUUGUCAGCCAAUUCACAGAUCUCAAUUUCCUUAGGGUCAUUUAAUGGAGAUUUGUUCUGCUGCUUUGGCUGUAUCAUUGUUUCCUUAUUCUUCAUGGUCCUUGUAGCUUUGUGUUGGUGUUUGUGCAUUUGCAGAAAUAGCUACUUCUUCCACUCUUUAUAGACUGGCUCGGACAGAGGGAGACCUUCAUCCAUCAGCCUUGGGAGAUAUUCCGGGUGCUUCUCAAACCCCUUCUAUGGAUGUGUAUUUUCUGAACAAAUGCAUGGGUAAAUUCCCCAGACUGGAAUUUACACCAUGCACUCUCAUUGAAUUACACCACCAGCUUUCCUGGGCCUACAGGUUGCGGACAGCAGGUCAUGGGACAUCUCAGCCUCCAUAAUCAUGUAAGCCAAUUCCUCACAAUAAAUAUAAAUUUUAUGUGUGUGUAUGUGUGUGUGUGUAUGUAUGUGUGUAUAUAUAUAUAUAUAUAUGUUUGUAUCUCCUAUUGAUUCUGUUUCUCUGGAGAACUCUGACAGAUACAGGGAGUAGGGAAGAAUCCUAUUAAAUUCACUACAAAGAGUCACUAUCCUGGUAGUGGUGAUUGAAUUUGGCCAAUAGGAAUGUAGAGAAACCAAGAGGAAACUUCCCCUUUGCCUUCUGAAGGGUCGCUGAAAAAUCACUGACAUGAGGCAGAUUAGUAGGAGAAAGGCGCACACAAUUAUUUAAUGACUAUAUAUGGAAGCUUUCAGAAUGAAGACCCAACACCCUAGUGGGGUUUGGAAACUUACAUAUCAUCCUUGCUAAACAGGCUGUGGGAGAGGGGAGAAGAGGAAUUCUGUUGAGGGGGUUACUAGGGAGAAUGAAUGGAUGCAGGAACAGUAAUUCACUUGUAAAUGGUUCUCUUUGACAGCGAAAAUGUCUUCUCAGGUGUGGUUACAUUCUUUGUCUUACAGGAGUGGGAAGAAAAUGAAAAAACAAUUGUUCUCCUUGGUGUGUUGGAUCUUGGGCGGAUAAAGGAACUUCAACUCCUUUGGUGAGAUGGUAGCAGCAGAGAGGUCAGAGAGACCUUGAGGCUUUGUCUUCAGUUGAGCAUGUCAAAACACCAUAUUUUGAUGUUUCUGAGUCCCAACAUGGGAAGUAAGAAGUGUGUUCUACAUUUAGAAUAGAGAAAAAUGUAAUAAAAUUUAAGAAGUACCUACAUAUAUAAGCUAC